This 421-nucleotide ribosomal RNA is filed under the name uncultured bacterium. RNAcentral describes it as "bacterial SSU rRNA". It matches the Rfam family "Bacterial small subunit ribosomal RNA", at positions 355 to 776 of the family's 1533-position model. The record is from RNAcentral.
UGGGGAAUAUUGCACAAUGGGCGGAAGCCUGAUGCAGCGACGCCGCGUGAGGGAUGACGGCCUUCGGGUUGUAAACCUCUUUCAGCACCGACGAAGGCUUCUCUUUUGGGGGGUUGACGGUAGGUGCAGAAGAAGCGCCGGCCAACUACGUGCCAGCAGCCGCGGUAAGACGUAGGGCGCGAGCGUUGUCCGGAUUUAUUGGGCGUAAAGAGCUCGUAGGCGGCUUGUCGCGUCGACUGUGAAAUCCCGUGGCUCAACUGCGGGCUUGCAGCCGAUACGGGCAGGCUGGAGUUCGGUAGGGGAGACUGGAAUUCCUGGUGUAGCGGUGAAAUGCGCAGAUAUCAGGAGGAACACCGGUGGCGAAGGCGGGUCUCUGGGCCGAUACUGACGCUGAGGAGCGAAAGCGUGGGGAGCGAACAGG